RNAcentral lists this long non-coding RNA (1492 nucleotides) under Cricetulus griseus (Chinese hamster). Its description in RNAcentral is "lncRNA (ENSCGRG00015041210.1)". The record is from RNAcentral. Lineage: Eukaryota; Metazoa; Chordata; Mammalia; Rodentia; Cricetidae.
AACAGUUUAAUAAUUAAUAUAGUGUCUGUUUAUUUGGGGUUAAUGGCUGUGGGACCAGGCUGGAGAGAAAACCAGCAACAUCUCCCCUAAGGAUGGGUAUACCACACAACCCUACAGGACAAGCAGUCAUCGAAAGGUCUAACAGGACACUUAAGGAGAUGCUCCAUAGGCAAGCUGGUAAGUCGAAACCCCCCAAACAUAGAUUACAUAAUGCCUUAUUAACGCUAAACUUUCUUAAUGCCAAUGACAUUGGGCAAACAGCUGCGGAAAGACACUGGACUACGAAAAAAAACAGCUGAACUGAACCAACCAGUGUAUUACAAAGAUGUGCUGACCUCGGUAUGGAAACCUGGACAUGUAUUACGUUGGGGUAGGGGUUUUGCAUUUGUCUCCACAGGAGAAGAAAAUCUUUGGAUACCAUCAAAAUUGAUCAAGAUUCGAGUUGAGGGAGACAACCCCCUCGACAAGGAUGACUGACAGCCAUCAAGACCCAGACUGACAGCAAUCCCUGCAUGCUCCGGAAAAGGAAUUAGACUACACCUUCCCGACUACACUGGAUUCAACUCACUCCGUUUCGACUGACACUCCAACCAGAACCUCGAGUAACGACUUCAAUCAAGUUGAGGAUUUCAACGUAGAUCUUCAAUCAAACAAAUCAUAUAACAUGGACUAGACAUAACUCAUUAAAGACUUUCCCUAUACUGACAUUUUUUUCCACAGAGCCCCCACAUGACCAUCUUCGUCCCUUUUCAGCAGGAAGUAACCUAGAAGAUGCUACGCCCCCGUUCCCCAUUAUUGUGUAUUAGGGUAGUGUAAGCCUAGUUAAGAAUAACCUUCUUAUUGUUUAGAGUUGGGAUUGGAAGAAGGUGUUCAAGUUAGACACUUUUUUCACAUGACUUUAAGACUUAGCUAGAAUAGACAUAGGAUGUAUCAUAGCAGAUUAUUGUAUAUUCUUGUAUUCCACCCUUAUGAUUGUUAGUUUUGGAUAUUUUACACUAUUAAGUUUUAAUCCUCUCUUAGACUAAAAGGGGAAUUGUAGGGAGUCACCCUAGCCCCGCCCAAUAGUCCUGGGGCAGGUACCAGGUGGACCUGGGGACUCGCCCAUAAGGGCGGGGUGAAGGAAAGCCGGGAUGACGUAAAGGGGGCUUCUUAAGGGACUGCACGUGGGGACGGGGCUCUCUCUUUGUUCUGGCCACGCUGGCUGGGUUCUUAACCUAGCUCUGGCCUGUGUUUCACCCGGCUGUGCUUGGAAAUAAAGAGACCAUAAUCCAAUACAUACCCUCUCCACCAGACAGUAGCUUUUAGCUACUUUCGGAACUCACUAUGGGUGUACUACAGCUUAUGUAAUAACACUGCUUCCUCCAUUUGUUUGUCUUAUUUUAAAAUUACAUUAAAAAUACAUUUAUGUAUAUGUGUUCAACCAUGCCUCUCAGUGUACAUUCCUCAACACCAGGAUAAUGAGUGUGUGUGUGGGGGUACAUGCAUGUGCAUU